Non-coding RNA from Salmo salar (Atlantic salmon), 54 nucleotides. The record is from Rfam. NCBI's taxonomy places the organism in Eukaryota, Metazoa, Chordata, Actinopteri, Salmoniformes, Salmonidae.
UGUAUUCACUACUGUAAGUCGCUCUGGAUAAGAGCAUCUGCUAAAUGACUAAAU